AUACGGAGGGUGCAAGCGUUAAUCGGAAUUACUGGGCGUAAAGCGCGCGUAGGCGGUUUGAUAAGUCGGAUGUGAAAUCCCCGGGCUCAACCUGGGAAUUGCAUUCGAUACUGUCAGGCUAGAGUGUGGUAGAGGGAAGUGGAAUUUCCGGUGUAGCGGUGAAAUGCGUAGAUAUCGGAAGGAACACCAGUGGCGAAGGCGGCUUCCUGGACCAACACUGACGCUGAGGUGCGAAAGCGUGGGGAGCAAACAGGAUUAGAAACCCUAGUAGUCC
Molecule: ribosomal RNA, 274 nt
Filed under: uncultured bacterium
Lineage: Bacteria
Description: partial 16S ribosomal RNA
Rfam family: Bacterial small subunit ribosomal RNA
Source: RNAcentral